RNAcentral lists this transfer RNA (69 nucleotides) under Marmota monax (woodchuck). Its description in RNAcentral is "tRNA.Gly". The record is from RNAcentral. Lineage: Eukaryota; Metazoa; Chordata; Mammalia; Rodentia; Sciuridae.
GCUUGUGACUCAGUGGUAGAGCGCUUGCCUACCAUGUGCAAGGCCCUGGGUUCGACCCUCAGCACUGCA